GCUAGCGGGAAGCUAGACCGGGACUGGAACUGAGUUAGUCAGGAGGGGUGCGGGCGGCCAAACCAGCGGCCGAACCACGUAACCUGAGGCCAGCCCGGAUCUGGAGAUUUUCCGUGAAGUGUCGGAACAGCUCUCUGCUAUGGCCUAGGAAAGCAGUGGAAGAUGGCCCAAGUCCUUAGGCCCCAGCACCCAUGUGGGAGACCCAGAAGAAGCUCCUGGCUCCUGGCUUCUAAUCGGUGCAGCUCUGGCCAUUGCGGCCAAUUGCGGAGUGAACCAUCGGAUGGAAGACCUCUCUUUCUCUCUCCUCUCUCUGUGUAAUUCUUUUGAUUAAAUGGAUAAAUAAAAAUAAAUAAAUAGUUUUAAACUGGGAGAAGAUAUGACCAGAAAGCUAAAUAGAAAAUGCAAUCAGGAUCCGGCACUGUGGCACAGUAGGUUAAUCCACUGCUUACGACGCCAGCAUCCUGUGUCAGAGCACCGGUUAGAGUCCCAGCAGCUCAGCUUCCAAUCCAGCUCCCUGCUAAAGUGCCUGGGAAAACACUGGAAGAUGCCCAUGUACCUGGGCUCCUGUCACCCAUGUGGGAGUCCAAAUGGAGUUCUAGGCUCCCAGAUUGGCCUGGCCCAGCCAUUCAUGGAGUGAGCCAGUGGAUGGAAGAUCUCUUCUUUUCUCUUAGUCUCCAUCUCUGUCACUCAGCUUUUCAAAUAAAUAAAUAUUUUUAAAAAUAAAUAAAAGAAAAUGUCACCAAAGCUAUAAAGAGAAAAAACAUUUCAGAAUGAGCCAGAGCCCCAGUUGUGUUUGUGGGCCAGCAAGGCCCGGGGUUGGGGAAGGAGCAUGUGAAAUGCUGUCCAGGAGAGGUCGGCAUCCAGGAUGCUGCAUUUCUCAUCCGGGAGGUGACCCAUUUGCGAGACAGCAUCAAACAGCGGACAAUGAGCGAACACAAGAGAAACCAGGUCUCUGUUUAAGGCAACAGGAAAUGAUCACCAUGCAGGAGGAAGACACCGGAGGACCUGUGUUUGGGCCAGGAGGAAAGCCGCAGUGUGGUUGCCAGCAGUGUGGCUGCCGAAAGAGUUAGAUGGAGAGCAGCAGCAGAGCAAAGACAGCUGGGGCCAGGAGGCCGGUGUCCGCCCCCGCCCAGAACAGAGAAGGGACCAGCAAGACAAAGGCAGGCAGCCCAGACCCAGGCCCAGAAGGGUGGGGUCCAACUGCCCCAGGGCGUCCACAGGCCAAUCCAAACACCUUGUGCAUUUUCAAGCUGUGUUUCAGCAAGGCUGGGGAGAAGAGAGAGGCCUCUUGGCCUUAGGCAACUUCUAGGUGUCCAUGACCACGUCAUGGAAACCUGUUUAGUCAGCCUCCCAAGGUGGUCAGACCAGUCUGGACCUGACGGAAGGCUGAAUUUUCAAAACUGCUUUGGAGGAAGAGCAGGCGUGUUGCAGCAGGGUAAGGUCGAAUCUGAGCACUGGUUCAAGUCCCAGCUCUUCUAAUCCAGCUUCCUGCCAAUGCGCCCUGGGAGGCAGUGAAUGGCAGCUCGAGUGCUUGGGCCCCUGACACCCUCAGGAGACCUGGCCGGAGUUCCAGGCUUCUGGCUUUGUCCUGGCCCAGUCGUAACUGUUGUGGGCAUCUGGGAAGUGAACCAGCAGAUAGAAGAUCUCUCUCUCUCUCUCUCUUUUGCUCACCCUACCUUUCAAGUAAAUAAAUAAACAUGAACAAAAAAAUAUGUUUUUAAAAAUACAUUGGAAGGAAGUCAAACAAGGUGAAUAAUCUGGAAUUAAUUUUCAACCUGUGGGGUGGAAUGACAUGGAAAAUGAGGAGUUCUUCUCUGCCCCUGACUGGCUGAAGACCUAUGCAAAGGCACUGCACCCAAGCUGUUCAGCGUUCUUGUCUGUCAUAAGGGAGAGGAAAAAUUCCUCUUGAAAAAAGCUGACAUAUCCCAAUAAGGGUAAAAUCCAUUUAAAUUCUUGACCGGAAAUCUAAUUUCUUGAGAUGACAUACAUUACAGAGUACAUAUACUUCCAACAGUCUCUAGAAAAUGGAAUUAAAGAUAAGUUUAUUUUGGUGCAAAGGCUUUUGAAAAUCGUGUAUACAAGGUGUCUUCAAAAGGUUCACAGAAAACAUGUAUUAUGAAAAAGUAUGCAUGGCUUUCAAAUGUUUUGCACCAAGAUAAACUUAUUUUUAAAUUUCAUUUUCCAUGAACUUUUAGAAAUACCUUCAUAUAUAUUUGCAUAUUUUGCAUAUAUUAUAUGUACAGUAUUAGCAAAAAUUUGUUAUUGCCCAAUAUUAGUCUUUUUUUUUUUUUUUUUUUUUUUUUUUUGAGCACCAGAGACAGCUCCCAUCCACUUGCUGACUCCUCAGAAACCUGCAGUGGCCUGGGGCUGGGCCGGAUGGGAAACAAUCCAGGUACCCAACAUGGGCCAUGCAAAUCCAGCUGCAUGGUCCAAAAUUACUGCUGCCCAGAGUCCACACUAGAAAGCCACUGGGGUCAGAAGCUGGAGCCAGGUGGCCGGCGCUGUGGCACAGCAGGUUAAAGCCCUGGCGUGAAGCACCAGCGUCCCGUAUAGGCAGCGGUUUUAGUCCCAGCUGCUCCACUUCUGAUCCAGCUCUCUGCUAUGGCCUGGGAAAGCAGCAGAAGAUGACCCAAGUCCUUGGGCCCCUGCACCCAUGUGGAAGACCCAGAGGAAGCUCCUGGCUCUUGACUUCGGAUCAGCACAGCUCUGGCCGUUGCGGCCAUCUUGGGAGUGAACCAGCGGAUGGAAGACCUUUCUCUCUGUCUCUACCUCUCUCUGUAAUAAAUAAUAUAAAUCUUAAAAAAAAAAAAAAAAAAAAAGGCAGCUUAAAAAAAAAAAGCUGGAGCCAGGAGCCAAAUCGAAGUAUCCUGUUGCAUGAUGUGGACUUCCCAACUGGAGUCUUCAUGGCUAGGCCAAACGACUUCCUUGUUUGCUUUAAUGGUAUAUUUUCUCAUAUAAUCCUCAUGAGAUAUGAUAGAGUUUUUUUUAUUAUCCCCAUUUACAGGCAUGGAGAGCCAAAUAACUUGUCCAAGAACAUUCAGAAAGGACAGAGCUGGGAGUCAGCCCCGUGAGCCUGAUUCCAGAGCCCACGCUUUGGAUUGGGCAGCCCACCCCGAAUGUAGAUGUAUUUUGAGAGGGAAGCAUUGGAGACAAAUAGCUGGGGCCAAAGCAAACGAGGUCAGCCAAGUUCCAGUCCUGCUUGUGCUAAUAGGUCUCAGAGCAGUCAUCUUCCCUCUCCAGGGCUUGGGACCCCUUUAUGUAUUUUACAGGCGGAGCUUGAAGGGCUCUUCCAACUGCACCGCUCCGAGAUUAUCUUUGAGCUUGUCAGUCACAACCUACUCUGAUAUGGAAGGCAGGAUUCAGUUAGCGCCUGGGCUGAAGAGUCCCUGUAUCUUCCCCAGGUGUUGUCUUAACCCUUGGCUUCCCUAGGCUGUGCCCCAGGAGACUCACCUGCGUCCUGGGGGCUCCCCUCCCCUUUGCUCCCUGUGGUUGGAAUUGGCAGGUAAACACAAAUACACACACCAGCUGCUCUGCCCUAUGUUCUGGCCAUGGCUGGGUUCUCCCACUGCCACAGCUCCAGUCUGGGCACUUUAGACCGAGGAGUGGAGAUGGCCUCCUGCUCUUGCUCGUCCCCAGGUGCUUCUCCACCACCUGUUGGUUGGUUUCCUCAACUGCCCAUACCCCCUGCCAAGUAAUCCUUCAUUCAAUACUCUGUGUGUAAAACCUUAAGCAUGCUGUUCCCCGGGGGCCCUGACUGCCGCAGACCCCUCAGUGAUGCAGUGGCUUUCCUCUUUGUCCUUGCUACCAUGACACUGGAACUCCCCCCACCUGUCAAGAACCAACACAGGGAUCCCAGGCCCCCUUUCAGAGUCCUACUGGCAUCCCCCACCAAGCCCAUAGGCCCUUCCAGAGUGAAAGAAGAGGACUCCCCCAUUCUCCCAGUGGGGUGGGAGCAUCAGCACCAGUGCUUUGUUUGCCUGGAGUCUAUAAAAACCCUGGGGCUCCUUGGAGAGAGAAAAUAUGGAGUCAGACAGCCCUUGCUUUGAAUCCUGGCUCGGCUACUUCCUGACUGUGAGAACUCCCUGUGCCUGAGAUGCCUCAUCUGUAAACUGGUAAUAACAACAUGUGCCUCGCAGCCGGCACUGUGGCCAACAGCUAAGCCAUGGCCUGCAAAGCUGGCAUCCUGUAUGAAUGCCACUUAGAGUCCCAGCUGCUCCACUUCUGAUCCAGCUCCCUGCUGAUGCACCUGGGAAAGCAACAGAAGACGGACCAAGUGCUUGGGCCCCUGCAUCCAUAUCACAGACCCAGAUGGAAUUCCAGGCUUCUAGCCCUGGCUGUUGCAGCAAUGUGGGGACUAAACCAAUGAAUGAAAGUGCUCGCUCACUCUCAAUCUCUCUCUCCCUCUCUCUCCCUCCCCCUCCAUUCUCUAACUCUGCUUUUUGAAUAAAUAAAAUAAAUCAUAUAAAAAAAUUUCCCUUCCUCUCUAUUAGGAAACUAGCAAGCCCUGAGAACAAUUAGAAGAAGUAAUGUGACUUCUCCAGAAAUACCAUACCACCUCCUGCAGUUCUUCAAUGGAAUAGACAGGUGCUGGUUUGGCAACAAACCAAGAAGGGGGGUGGGAGUGGGGGGAUUAAAAAGAAUAACUCAUCAGAAACCAGGCUUUUGUUGAAAAAAAGAAAGAAAAAAAAAACAAUGCCCAAACCUAACUGCAGCAAGCAAUUAGGGAACAAUAGCUAACUACUUUCUAUAAUUAGCGAGAGAAAGCAUCGCAAGUGAUCAGAGCGCCUUUGUCUGCUCUGACCCUCUGCACUGGGAAAGAUCACGGCUCACGUGAGUUGCAGACUGGGGAUCUUGGCAUCCUUUUAAGUUUUCUGGAGGGACUGAAUCUCACACCGCCCUUCUGUUGCAGAGACAGGAGGGCAGUAGGGUGAUGAAGACUUUCUCAUCAGAAAAGAAAGGCAACUGGGAACGUGACUCAUGCACGGGCAAGUUCAGUGCUGAUGGGGGAGGGGGAAAGGGUCGUACCACCUCCCCCCAGGGCUACAAACAUGCUGUUGGUGCCAGGUGCGUGGGCUGGCAUCGCUGUGGGAGGAAGAGGCAAAUGGCUAGGACAUUCCCCCAACAUGCCCCUUUUGCGGAAUAUGAAGCAAGUCUUUAUCUCUAACAAUGGAUGCCCCAGACAAAAGCAAAGAAGAUAUGCCCACAAACAUGCACACGAGAGAGUUGCUCUCUUGGCCUUGACUGCAGGAGCAAGCUAGCUUCCUUGCCCAAUCUCGCUGUUCUCCCAGGCCCCCAGCCUCCCCACUGGCCAUCCUUGUCACUUCACUCUUCAAUCCCUUAUCCCCAGCCUACUGCCACUUCCUUCCAUCUACUCUGCCGUCUCUGCUCCUCCCCAUUUCUGUCAUCACAAGCAUUGUCAAGCUCCCCAUCCCCCACCCCCCAGACCAGGUAUUUUCACUGACUUCCAUCAGUGUCUGUGUGGUCCCCCUCCCCCACACAGACAAUCCACAUGGCACUGGAUUCACUGGGCCACCCUUCAUGCUGGCAUUAUCUCCACUGGGGUUCAAGUGUCCUGGCAAUGCACUUGGAUAGGUUAGUGUCUCCCCUGGGUGCCCUUUACCGGUUCAGGGCACCCCAUCACUCUGAGAGACCUGAGCCUGGAAAAGGGCACCCCAUCACUCUGAGAGACCUGAGCCUGGAUCAAGGUGCAGCUAUUUUAGACUAGGCCUCCAUCUUGUAACUCGGACCUGACUGGGCCCUGAACCCUAAGCCAAAAGCUCCUAAAAAAAAGAAAAUAAAA
This is a non-coding RNA of Oryctolagus cuniculus (rabbit), 5800 nucleotides long. The record is from RefSeq and is a predicted model, not a curated record. Lineage: Eukaryota; Metazoa; Chordata; Mammalia; Lagomorpha; Leporidae.